CAGGGAGACAACAAAAUGUUUAAUAUUAUAAUUUUGUCACCUUAGGUCGAUCGGUAUCUCACGUUCUUGAUUUAUUAAGAAUUUCAUUUCCUAAGUUUUUCUAGGUCACACCCAUUAUUUUUCCUGGGCCAUUAGCUCAGGUGGUUAGAGCGCACCCCUGAUAAGGGUGAGGUCCCUGGUUCAAGUCCAGGAUGGCCCAUAUCUCUAUGUUGGGGGUAUAGCUCAGUUGGUAGAGCGCCUGCUUUGCAAGCAGGAUGUCAGCGGUUCGAGUCCGCUUACCUCCACUGAUUACCACCUCUUCCAUAAUCUGUAGAAAGGAAAUUUUUUGAGUUGUGAUCAAAUUCUGAACGAAUCUAGCUUCCUAAUGUAACUAUUAAGAUGCUGGACUCAUUGAAUUAAUUUCAUUGUUUUCAGAGAACCUUGACAACUGCAUAGAUUAUUUUUUAAAGACAAUAAGCAUCUUUUAUGAUGCAGAUUUAUUAUUUGUGCGAAUGCAUUAAUAACAAUUCUAUUAAGCUGAUGCUUCAAUUUAAUGAAGUUAUU
RNAcentral lists this transfer RNA (543 nucleotides) under uncultured Prochlorococcus sp. RNAcentral's name for it is "partial 16S-23S ribosomal RNA intergenic spacer". The stretch from base 212 to 284 matches the Rfam family "tRNA". The record is from RNAcentral. Lineage: Bacteria; Bacillati; Cyanobacteriota; Cyanophyceae; Synechococcales; Prochlorococcaceae.